RNAcentral lists this long non-coding RNA (1371 nucleotides) under Pogona vitticeps (central bearded dragon). RNAcentral's name for it is "lncRNA (ENSPVIG00000010922.1)". Lineage: Eukaryota; Metazoa; Chordata; Lepidosauria; Squamata; Agamidae. The record is from RNAcentral.
ACAAUUGAGUGAAAUAUGGGAAGAAACCUUCUCCUCACACCUACCCUUUCUUCAUUCUCUUCUGCUCUGCAGGGGCUUCCACCGGCACCCUUAGAUUUUCCUUUUUCAUUCCUUAGAUGGAGGCAGCGUUAAUUUAGGAUGCAAAGCAUCUGCAGAGGAAAAGAUUUAUGCCUCCACUGCUCACACAUGAUGGUCCUGAUCCAGAGAGGAACCUCUCAUGCUUGCUUCUAAGUUAAAAAUCAAGGGAGACUCAGUUGCUCAGAGAAUCUUUUGGGGCUAAUCCAAUUGUUAAUCCCAGAUGAGUCAGACCCAUGUAAAUCCCACUGAUUCCGUGGCUGAACUCAAGUAACAAGUUACAACUAGAGUAGACCUAUUGAAUCAGUGGAAUUUACAGAGGAGCUGGCUCAGCAAUUUCCCACUGAUUCAGUGAGCCUACUCUAUUUGUGAUUUUUCCUGGAUUUCAGCUAUUGCAUCUAUGCUGGCUUCAGCAAGCAAUGGGAUUUAGCCCUUAAAAUGUAGUUUAAUUGGUAGAGCACAUGCUUUGUAUCUUUAAUCUCUGAUAUCAAAGGAACACUCAUGAAAUCAUGGAGUGAGCCAUUGCCUACCAGUGUGAGCAAUACUGAGCUGGAUUGGGAAAUGGUCUGCCUCUGUCUGUCCCAAAUGGACCCACCAGCCAGUUUCCAAUUAAGAACACAUAAAACAAUGAAGCACAGGAGAAACCUCAACAGCAGCUCAACAGAACGAAAUGGAGCAGUAAACGAUGAAGCCAUGAAGAGCCAGGUAUUUGUCAAAGCCUUAUUAAAAGGAAAUCUGUUAAUGCGGAACAAGUUAGAAAUAAAACCUGUAACAAGAGGUGGUGCUGGGAUUCGGUGCCCUUCAUCAUCAGGUUUGGUGACUUAUUCAAUAACAUCCAACAAGUUUGAAAACUGGCUAUGGUUCCCAAGACCGGCAUUGCAGGAGAACCCAGGCAAACUUUGGAUAAAUGGAAGGGCUCAUCAGUAAUUACACAAAAGUGUUGCACUUUCUCUAUGGAGCAAGAAAUUUCAGCCCCUGAAACCUGCUGUACCUUUAAGAAGGUCACCUGUGAACCUUUGUAGGGCAGAGGACUUGAUGCAUGAGUUCCACAAAGACAAGACUCAAACAUUAACCAAGCUGGCUAUAAAUGGCUAUUGGGCUGUCCCUUAAGUAAGGAGGCAAGCAGGAGUAGGCUGACCAAGGUAUUCUGUGCUGGGUGGGACAGUGCCCAAUUUGCCCUAAUGGACCAGCCCUCAUGUGAUCUGGCUUGACAGUAAAGAAAAGAAAGAAGCCUUGUGUUCCUGCUUGUGAAAACAAGAAUAUGGUUAAUAAAUACCCAUUUAUUCAAUGAGAGCA